This 253-nucleotide ribosomal RNA is filed under the name uncultured bacterium. Its description in RNAcentral is "partial 16S ribosomal RNA". It matches the Rfam family "Bacterial small subunit ribosomal RNA", at positions 524 to 776 of the family's 1533-position model. The record is from RNAcentral.
UACGGAGGAUGCAAGCGUUAUCCGGAAUGAUUGGGCGUAAAGGGUCCGCAGGUGGCCGUGUAAGUCUGCUGUCAAAGAAUGAGGCUUAACCUCAUCAAGGCAGUGGAAACUACACAGCUAGAGUACGGUCGGGGUAGAAGGAAUUCCUGGUGUAGCGGUGAAAUGCGUAGAGAUCAGGAAGAACACCGGUGGCGAAAGCGUUCUGCUGGACCUGUACUGACACUGAGGGACGAAAGCUAGGGGAGCGAAUGGG